This 254-nucleotide ribosomal RNA is filed under the name uncultured bacterium. RNAcentral describes it as "partial 16S ribosomal RNA". It matches the Rfam family "Bacterial small subunit ribosomal RNA", at positions 524 to 776 of the family's 1533-position model. The record is from RNAcentral.
UACGUAGGUGGCAAGCGUUGUUCGGAAUUAUUGGGCGUAAAGAGCUCGUAGGCGGUCUGUCGCGUCGAUCGUGAAAACUUGGGGCUUAACCCUGAGCUUGCGGUCGAUACGGGCAUGACUGGAGUUCGGCAGGGGAGACUGGAAUUCCUGGUGUAGCGGUGAAAUGCGCAGAUAUCAGGAGGAACACCGGUGGCGAAGGCGGGUCUCUGGGCCGAUACUGACGCUGAGGAGCGAAAGCGUGGGGAGCGAACAGG